This 387-nucleotide ribosomal RNA is filed under the name uncultured bacterium. Its description in RNAcentral is "bacterial SSU rRNA". It matches the Rfam family "Archaeal small subunit ribosomal RNA", at positions 339 to 727 of the family's 1478-position model. The record is from RNAcentral.
GCGAGAAAACUUUGCAAUGUGCGAAAGCACGACAAGGUUAAUCCGAGUGAUUUCUGCUAAAGAAAUCUUUUGCAAGUCAUAAAACCACUAGUGAAUAAGGGGUGGGCAAGUUCUGGUGUCAGCCGCCGCGGUAAAACCAGCACCUCAAGUGGUCAGGAGGAUUAUUGGGCCUAAAGCAUCCGUAGCCGGCUCUGUAAGUUUUCGGUUAAAUCCAUGUGCUCAACGCAUGGGCUGUCGAAAAUACUGCAUAGCUAGGGAGUGGGAGAGGUAGACGGUACUCGGUAGGAAGGGGUAAAAUCCUUUGAUCUAUCGAUGACCACCUGUGGCGAAGGCGGUCUACCAGAACACGUUCGACGGUGAGGGAUGAAAGCUGGGGGAGCAAACCGG